GGGGUCCCGCGACUUCCAUUAAUGAAUUCGCACACUGGCCGUCACCACUCAACACGCCGACGAUCUUAUGCAUUGCACAAAGUGAGAAUACUUGGUUGCAAGUGACCGAAAUUCAACUCCUCCAAAAAGGAUUUAUUGGUUCAUGUAAUUGCGAAGUGCAAGAGUGCAUCUUAAGGCAAGACUGCAUCUGGAGACUCAAAUACUGCUGUCAAG
This 213-nucleotide long non-coding RNA is filed under the name Rhinopithecus roxellana (golden snub-nosed monkey). RNAcentral describes it as "lncRNA (ENSRROG00000045967.1)". Lineage: Eukaryota; Metazoa; Chordata; Mammalia; Primates; Cercopithecidae. The record is from RNAcentral.